Molecule: long non-coding RNA, 341 nt
Filed under: Theobroma cacao (cacao)
Lineage: Eukaryota; Viridiplantae; Streptophyta; Magnoliopsida; Malvales; Malvaceae
Description: long non-coding RNA (TCAC_LNC006461)
Source: RNAcentral
AAAUCAAUCCAUAAAAAUCGAGUAAUCAACUUGGCUUAUGAAUUUCUUAAAACUUUGGCUCGUGCCAAAACUCAUACUCGGUGAUACCUUGUGCAGGGCAUCCAACCGAGUUCGCCAAGGCUGUUUAAAAUUUUUGUAUACACUUAAAAUAUAUUUUUAGUUUGAGAAAAAUACAGCCGUUCCUUGGCGUUGGCUGAGUUCCCCUUCAUGUGGUGGUUUGGCGUGAAGUGAACCCUAAGCUUUACCCCAGGAGAUACCCUACGCGCCUCUCCGUUCGAGGUAAGAAUAUAAUGGAGUUUACCGUGCCCCUCUAAUAGGCUGGUCCACGGAACCCCCUCUGC